GCCAAGUCUGAUCGUUUUUGCACUUACCCGGUGAGGCGGGGGGGGCGAGCCCCGAGGGGCUCUCGCUUCUGGCGCCAAGCGCCCGGGCGCGACCCGCUCCAGGGACAGCGUCAGGCGGGGAGUUUGACUGGGGCGAUACACCUGUCAAAGCGUAACGCAGGUGUCCUAAGGCGAGCUCAGGGAGGCCAGAAACCUCCCGUGGAGCAGAAGGGCAAAAGCUCGCUUGUUAGACUCUGAGACUGAAGUUUUGAGGGACUGAAGUGUUGAGUAACAUUUAGAUUGAUUAUUAUGCUAUG
Molecule: non-coding RNA, 296 nt
Filed under: Anas platyrhynchos (mallard)
Lineage: Eukaryota; Metazoa; Chordata; Aves; Anseriformes; Anatidae
Description: Eukaryotic large subunit ribosomal RNA
Rfam family: Eukaryotic large subunit ribosomal RNA
Source: Rfam by way of RNAcentral